AGCAAUUUACUUUUUUCAUUCACCCAUUCAUGCACCAAUGGUGGAGCUGCCAUGCAAGGUUCUGCCUGCCAUUGGGAGCAACUUCAGGUUCAGUGU
Molecule: long non-coding RNA, 96 nt
Organism: Stegastes partitus (bicolor damselfish)
Lineage: Eukaryota; Metazoa; Chordata; Actinopteri; Pomacentridae
Exons: 3
Source: RefSeq, a predicted model, not a curated record